UACGUAGGUGGCAAGCGUUGUCCGGAUUUACUGGGCGUAAAGAGCGCGCAGGCGGUCGGAUAAGUCGAAUGUGAAAGCCCCCGGCUCAACCGGGGAAGUGCAUCUGAAACUGGCGAGCUAGAGUACGAAAGAGGGUCGCGGAAUUCCCGGUGUAGAGGUGAAAUUCGUAGAUAUCGGGAGGAACACCGGUGGCGAAGGCGGCGACCUGGGUCGAUACUGACGCUGAGGUGCGAAAGCGUGGGGAGCAAACAGG
This 253-nucleotide ribosomal RNA is filed under the name uncultured bacterium. RNAcentral's name for it is "partial 16S ribosomal RNA". It matches the Rfam family "Bacterial small subunit ribosomal RNA", at positions 524 to 776 of the family's 1533-position model. The record is from RNAcentral.